AUACGUAGGCAGCAAGCGUUGUUCGGAGUUACUGGGCGUAAAGCGUGCGUAGGCGGUUCCGUCAGUUCGGUGUGAAAUCUCCCGGCUCAACUGGGAGGGUGCGCCGAAUACUGCGGGGCUUGAGCGCGGGAGAGGAAAGCGGAAUUCCUGGUGUAGCGGUGAAAUGCGUAGAUAUCAGGAGGAACACCGGUGGUGAAGACGGCUUUCUGGACCGCUGCUGACGCUGAGGCACGAAAGCGUGGGGAGCAAACAGGAUUAGAUACCCCGGUAGUCC
RNAcentral lists this ribosomal RNA (274 nucleotides) under uncultured bacterium. Its description in RNAcentral is "partial 16S ribosomal RNA". It matches the Rfam family "Bacterial small subunit ribosomal RNA", at positions 523 to 796 of the family's 1533-position model. The record is from RNAcentral.